RNAcentral lists this ribosomal RNA (199 nucleotides) under uncultured bacterium. RNAcentral describes it as "partial 16S ribosomal RNA". It matches the Rfam family "Bacterial small subunit ribosomal RNA", at positions 1302 to 1500 of the family's 1533-position model. The record is from RNAcentral.
AGGCUGCAACCCGCCUGUAUGAAGUUGGAAUCGCUAGUAAUCGCGGAUCAGCAUGCCGCGGUGAAUACGUUCCCGGGCCUUGUACACACCGCCCGUCACACCAUGAGAGUCGGGAACACCCGAAGUCCGUAGCCUAACCGCAAGGGGGGCGCGGCCGAAGGUGGGUUCGAUAAUUGGGGUGAAGUCGUAACAAGGUACC